This is a long non-coding RNA of Diorhabda sublineata, 1520 nucleotides long. RefSeq lists it as uncharacterized. NCBI's taxonomy places the organism in Eukaryota, Metazoa, Arthropoda, Insecta, Coleoptera, Chrysomelidae. The record is from RefSeq and is a predicted model, not a curated record. The transcript is spliced from 3 exons.
GAGUUACCUCCCGGCCGAAUUCCCAAGAGAUGGCACGAAAGCUGGACGUCCACUUCUCAAAAGGCUGAAUAGUAGAAGAAACAAGACCAAAUCUUAAGAAAAGAGAAAGUAGCUGAAACACCUGAUUUAAAAAGCUAAACCAUGUUUAGUCAAAAUGGUAUCGCGUGACGCCUGUAAACCAGCGUCAAACGUCAACGUGAAAUUCGAAUACAUUUUUAUUGGAAAUUCGAAAUUUAAAUAUGUAGUGAUAGUAACAUAAAAUUAUUUUUUAAAUCAUUUUGAAAAAUGUAAAAGGCCACAGCAACCGGUUGGUGGUAUUGACAGUUUAAGCAAACUACUAUUUUGAGGUUAGAAUGACUGAAAAUAUACGAAAUACAUAGAAGGAAAAUCUCACGAUAUCGUUUAAAGAAUAUAAGAAACAAAAUGUGAUUUUUUCCUUGAAUAAUAAAUAACCAGUUGUAGAUUUACCAGCAGGCUGAGUGGGCUGUAGCGUAGAGCAAAUUUUUAUUCCGGUACAUUAUUGCUCACACUGAAAAUUGAGGUUUGAAGAGCAGAACGUGAUAAUUUUGGAAAAAAGACAAUGGAAUUGAGCGUAUAGAAAGUACGAACUAGAUAAAUGAAAAAAAUUUUAUUAAACACUUAAUGAAGAUAUUGGAAUGGCUGCUAGUGAUUUCUUCAGAGUUAAUAUCCUAGUAAGUGAAAGAGAUUUAUCUAGAAAUUCUCAUUUCUUAUAGAAUUGAAGUAGAAUCCGAAUUAGCGAAAUUGUUCAUACCAGAGAAGUUUUUCUGGAAAGAUUGAAUAACUUAACUAUCGACUUUGAGUCAAGAAAUACUUAAAGUUUUAGCUCUUUUUUGCAUAGCACACUAAAAAGUUUUCAAUAUGGCAAUAUGAUUAACGAUUUUGAUGUUAAACUGUGUAAUGAAAAAUAUGCAUCACCUUACUACAAAAGGAAAAUAUUCAAGAUUCAAGGUUUUAAAAUCGUAAAAAAUUGUUUUGAUAAAAAAUGCAACAGAAGAUUAAUAGCCUACAAGGGGCCAAUCUUUAAAUCAGUCACUAUAAAUAACACAAAUGUAAUGGAUGAAAAUGUAAAAUAAUGAAAAUAUGAUCACAGCAUAUUCACUAGAAAACUGCAGGUGUUUUAUUGUUUUGAAUGCUACAUUGAAUAAUGUUAAUCGUGCUUGUGACAUUAUUAACAAAUUAGAUCGUGAUUAUGUCUCUUCUGUUUCAAAAUUAGUUUUUUUUAUGAAAAUUUGACGUUUCAACUACUUUUCAGUCUUCAUCGAAAUAUUAAGAUAAGAAGGACCCUUUGAUGAAACUCUUGAAGUUAAGUUUCUUAUACCAAAUAGAAAGAUAAAGAAUUUCUUCAUCUAUCCCAUAGUGAAUGUCAUUAUGCAUGAUAAGUUUGGAACAAAUUGUGGAAAAACUGCUUUAACCAUAUAAAUCGUGAUGAAGAGGCUACGAAUUUCCAUUGCAAAUGAAUCUAAAAUCCUAUGAACUUUAAAAUAAAGGCAAUUUCUAAA